UACGUAGGGUGCGAGCGUUGUCCGGAAUUAUUGGGCGUAAAGAGCUUGUAGGCGCUUUGUCGCGUCUGCUGUGAAAAUCCGGGGCUCAACCCCGGACUUGCAGUGGGUACGGGCAGACUAGAGUGUGGUAGGGGAGACUGGAAUUCCUGGUGUAGCGGUGAAAUGCGCAGAUAUCAGGAGGAACACCAAUGGCGAAGGCAGGUCUCUGGGCCACUACUGACGCUGAGAAGCGAAAGCAUGGGGGGCGAACAGGAUUAGAUA
RNAcentral lists this ribosomal RNA (261 nucleotides) under uncultured prokaryote. RNAcentral describes it as "partial 16S ribosomal RNA". It matches the Rfam family "Bacterial small subunit ribosomal RNA", at positions 524 to 784 of the family's 1533-position model. The record is from RNAcentral.